AUUGAACGCUGGCGGCAGGCCUAACACAUGCAAGUCGAGCGAGCGGCGGACGGGUGAGCAAUGUCUGGGAAACUGCCUGACGGAGGGGGAUAACUACUGGAAACGGUAGCUAAUACCGCAUACCAUCAGAUGUGCCCAGACGGGAUUAGCUAGUGGGUGGGGUAAGGGCUCACCUAGGCGACGUUCACUAGCUGGUCUGAGAGGAUGACCAGCCACACUGGACCUGAGACACGGUCCAGACUCCUACGGGAGGCAGCAGUGGGGAAUAUUGCACAAUGGGCGCAAGCCUGAUGCAGCCAUGCCGCGUGUGUGAAGAAGGCCUUCGGGUUGUAAAGCACUUUCAGCGAGGAGGCGUUACUCGCAGAAGAAGCACCGGCUAACUCCGUGCCAGCAGCCGCGGUAAUAC
RNAcentral lists this ribosomal RNA (406 nucleotides) under uncultured bacterium. Its description in RNAcentral is "partial 16S ribosomal RNA". It matches the Rfam family "Bacterial small subunit ribosomal RNA", at positions 30 to 526 of the family's 1533-position model. The record is from RNAcentral.